AUACGUAGGUCCCGAACGUUGCGCGAAAUUACUGGGCGUAAAGGGUCCGUAGGCGGUCUGGUAAGUGGAAGGUGAAAGCCUGGGGCUCAACUCCAGAAUUGCCUUCCAAACUGCCGGACUUGAGGCAGGGAGAGGUCGGCGGAAUUCCCGGUGUAGCGGUGAAAUGCGUAGAUAUAGGGAGGAACACCAGUGGCGAAGGCGGCCGACUGGAACUGUCCUGACGCUGAGGGACGAAAGCCAGGGGAGCGAACCGGAUUAGAAACCCUAGUAGUCC
Molecule: ribosomal RNA, 274 nt
Filed under: uncultured bacterium
Lineage: Bacteria
Description: partial 16S ribosomal RNA
Rfam family: Bacterial small subunit ribosomal RNA
Source: RNAcentral